This 253-nucleotide ribosomal RNA is filed under the name uncultured bacterium. RNAcentral describes it as "partial 16S ribosomal RNA". It matches the Rfam family "Bacterial small subunit ribosomal RNA", at positions 524 to 776 of the family's 1533-position model. The record is from RNAcentral.
UACAGAGGUCCCAAGCGUUGUUCGGAUUCACUGGGCGUAAAGGGUGCGUAGGCGGUCGGAUAAGUCUGAUGUGAAAUCUUCGAGCUCAACUCGGAAACUGCAUCGGAAACUAUUCGGCUGGAGGAUUGGAGGGGAGACUGGAAUUCUCGGUGUAGCAGUGAAAUGCGUAGAUAUCGGAAGGAACACCAGUGGCGAAAGCGGCUUCCUGGUCCGACACCGACGUUCAGGCACGAAAGCGUGGGGAGCAAACGGG